Molecule: ribosomal RNA, 547 nt
Filed under: uncultured Staphylococcus sp.
Lineage: Bacteria; Bacillati; Bacillota; Bacilli; Caryophanales; Staphylococcaceae
Description: bacterial SSU rRNA
Rfam family: Bacterial small subunit ribosomal RNA
Source: RNAcentral
CUUCCCCUACAGGUUCGCAGCAGUAGGGAAUCUUCCGCAAUGGGCGAAAGCCUGACGGAGCAACGCCGCGUGAGUGAUGAAGGUCUUCGGAUCGUAAAACUCUGUUAUUAGGGAAGAACAUACGUGUAAGUAACUAUGCACGUCUUGACGGUACCUAAUCAGAAAGCCACGGCUAACUACGUGCCAGCAGCCGCGGUAAUACGUAGGUGGCAAGCGUUAUCCGGAAUUAUUGGGCGUAAAGCGCGCGUAGGCGGUUUUUUAAGUCUGAUGUGAAAGCCCACGGCUCAACCGUGGAGGGUCAUUGGAAACUGGAAAACUUGAGUGCAGAAGAGGAAAGUGGAAUUCCAUGUGUAGCGGUGAAAUGCGCAGAGAUAUGGAGGAACACCAGUGGCGAAGGCGACUUUCUGGUCUGUAACUGACGCUGAUGUGCGAAAGCGUGGGGAUCAAACAGGAUUAGAUACCCUGGUAGUCCACGCCGUAAACGAUGAGUGCUAAGUGUUAGGGGGUUUCCGCCCCUUAGUGCUGCAGCUAACGCAUUAAGCACUCC